This 468-nucleotide ribosomal RNA is filed under the name uncultured bacterium. Its description in RNAcentral is "partial 16S ribosomal RNA". It matches the Rfam family "Bacterial small subunit ribosomal RNA", at positions 28 to 507 of the family's 1533-position model. The record is from RNAcentral.
GACGAACGCUGGCGGCGUGCUUAACACAUGCAAGUCGAACGGAAAGGCCCUGCUUUUGUGGGGUGCUCGAGUGGCGAACGGGUGAGUAACACGUGAGUAACCUGCCCUUGACUUUGGGAUAACUUCAGGAAACUGGGGCUAAUACCGGAUAGGAGCUCCUGCUGCAUGGUGGGGGUUGGAGAGUUUCGGCGGUUGGGGAUGGACUCGCGGCUUAUCAGCUUGUUGGUGGGGUAGUGGCUUACCAAGGCUUUGACGGGUAGCCGGCCUGAGAGGGUGACCGGCCACAUUGGGACUGAGAUACGGCCCAGACUCCUACGGGAGGCAGCAGUGGGGAAUAUUGCGCAAUGGGCGGAAGCCUGAUGCAGCAACGCCGCGUGCGGGAUGACGGCCUUCGGGUUGUAAACCGCUUUCGCCUGUGACGAAGCGUGAGUGACGGUAAUGGGUAAAGAAGCACCGGCUAACUACGUG